This 764-nucleotide unclassified non-coding RNA is filed under the name Hevea brasiliensis (rubber tree). The record is from RNAcentral. Lineage: Eukaryota; Viridiplantae; Streptophyta; Magnoliopsida; Malpighiales; Euphorbiaceae.
GCCUCUCCCCCAUUUCUAAAUAGUAUCAAACAUGUUGAAGAUGGAAGUGGUAGUACCUCCACCUACCAUGGAUUUCGACUUCAAUGAUGCAAGACCUAUGCCAUUCUUGAGCGCUCCUUCUACUCCCAAACGUUUUGGCGAUUGCUCCCUCAGUGCUCCCAGUAGUCCUUCACGGUUCGCCGACUUCUAUCGUCGUUUUGAUGAAUUCGCCUCGGAUGCAAACUCUACACCUGUAUCGCCCAAGGCUGCUGCUGCGCCUAAUAAUAGUGGUGGAGAUGAUUUCGCUUUUGAUUUCAGGUCUGAACUGCAAGAGAAUUCUCUCUCCGCUGAAGAACUUUUUGACGGUGGCAAAAUCCGGCCCUUGAAGCCUCCUCCUAGAUUACAGACGGAGGAGAGAAGUCCGCUUUUAUCACCGAGGUCACCCAGAUCACCUAUAGCUCAAGGGAAAAGGAUUAUAAGUGAGGUUUUUUCUCCGAGAAAGAAGAAAGAUUCAGAUCCGUUUGCUAUUGCUGUUGAAAAUACUCGAAAGAGAACCGAGAAUGAUGGUCGAAGGAGAACUGAAAAUGAUAGAGGUAGAGAGAGAGGUCCAGCGUUAGCAUCGAGUUCCAGCCGCAGAGCUACAAGAUCGCUUUCUCCAUAUAGAGUUUCAGAAUAUCCGUGGGAAGAAGAAGAAAGAACGAUACGAGAAACCACCAAACAAACAGCAGCUCCCUAUUCAAAAGCUUCACUGUCAUCAAAUUCUUCUUCUUCUUCUUCUUCUUCUU